RNAcentral lists this ribosomal RNA (136 nucleotides) under Sinocyclocheilus anshuiensis. The record is from RNAcentral. Lineage: Eukaryota; Metazoa; Chordata; Actinopteri; Cypriniformes; Cyprinidae.
GACAGCAUCUGAUGUCACUUUAUCAGUGCUAGGCUAUAAAGUCUAUAAUAGUACUAUAUCCACUGAAGCUAAGCAGGGUUGAGCUGGUCAGUACCUGGAUGGGAGACCUCCUGGGAAAAUUAGGUUGCUGCUGGAA